This 166-nucleotide ribosomal RNA is filed under the name Bacillus subtilis. RNAcentral's name for it is "partial 16S ribosomal RNA". It matches the Rfam family "Bacterial small subunit ribosomal RNA", at positions 1 to 163 of the family's 1533-position model. Lineage: Bacteria; Bacillati; Bacillota; Bacilli; Caryophanales; Bacillaceae. RNAcentral also lists the same sequence under 1 other name. The record is from RNAcentral.
UUAUCGGAGAGUUUGAUCCUGGCUCAGGACGAACGCUGGCGGCGUGCCUAAUACAUGCAAGUCGAGCGGACAGAUGGGAGCUUGCUCCCUGAUGUUAGCGGCGGACGGGUGAGUAACACGUGGGUAACCUGCCUGUAAGACUGGGAUAACUCCGGGAAACCGGGGC